Molecule: ribosomal RNA, 497 nt
Filed under: uncultured bacterium
Lineage: Bacteria
Description: partial 16S ribosomal RNA
Rfam family: Bacterial small subunit ribosomal RNA
Source: RNAcentral
GAUGAACGCUGGCGGCGUGCCUAAUACAUGCAAGUCCAACGAACGGACGCGAAGCUUGCUUCUCUGAUGUUUGCGGCGGACGGGGGAGUAACACGUGUAUAACCCACCUUUAAGACUGGGAUAACUUCGGGAAACCGGCGCUAAUACCGGAUGAUAUUUUGAACCGCAUGGUUCAAAAGUUAAAGACGGUCUUUCUGUCACUUCUAGAUGGUUCCGCGCUGCAUUAGCUAGUUGGUAAGGUAACGGCUUACCAAGGCAACGAUGCAUAGCCGACCUGAGAGGGUGAUCGGCCACACUGGAACUGAGACACGGUCCAGACUCCUACGGGAGGCAGCAGUAGGGAAUCUUCCGCAAUGGGCGAAAGCCUGACGGAGCAACGCCGCGUGAGUGAUGAAGGUCUUCGGAUCGUAAAACUCUGUUAUUAGGGAAGAACAUAUGUGUAAGUAACUGUGCACAUCUUGACGGUACCUAAUCAGAAAGCCACGGCUAACUACGUG